This 460-nucleotide ribosomal RNA is filed under the name uncultured bacterium. RNAcentral's name for it is "partial 16S ribosomal RNA". It matches the Rfam family "Bacterial small subunit ribosomal RNA", at positions 338 to 795 of the family's 1533-position model. The record is from RNAcentral.
CCUACGGGAGGCAGCAGUGAGGAAUAUUGGUCAAUGGGCGCGAGCCUGAACCAGCCAAGUAGCGUGAAGGAUGACUGCCCUACGGGUUGUAAGCUUCUUUUAUAAAGGAAUAAAGUGAGGCACGUGUGCCUUUUUGUAUGUACGUUAUGAAUAAGGAUCGGCUAACUCCGUGCCAGCAGCCGCGGUAAUACGGAGGAUCCGAGCGUUAUCCGGAUUUAUUGGGUUUAAAGGGAGCGUAGAUGGGUUGUUAAGUCAGUUGUGAAAGUUUGCGGCUCAACCGUAAAAUUGCAAUUGAUACUGGCAGUCUUGAGUGCAGAUGAGGUAGGCGGAAUUCGUGGUGUAGCGGUGAAAUGCGUAGAUAUCACGAAGAACUCCGGUUGCGAAGGCAGCUUACUAAACUGCCACUGACGUUGAUGCUCGAAAGUGUGGGUAGCGAACAGGAUUAGAUACCCGGGUAGUC